RNAcentral lists this ribosomal RNA (596 nucleotides) under uncultured Proteinivoraceae bacterium. RNAcentral's name for it is "bacterial SSU rRNA". It matches the Rfam family "Bacterial small subunit ribosomal RNA", at positions 93 to 707 of the family's 1533-position model. Lineage: Bacteria; Bacillati; Bacillota; Clostridia; Eubacteriales; Proteinivoracaceae. The record is from RNAcentral.
UAGUGGCGGACGGGUGAGUAACACGUGGGCAACCUGCCCUACAGCCUGGGAUACCAUCGGGAAACUGAUGUUAAUACCGGAUACGCUCUUUUGAUCGCAUGAUCUAAGGAGGAAAGAUUUAUCGCUGUAGGAUGGGCCCGCGGUCCAUUAGCUAGUUGGUAGGGUAACGGCCUACCAAGGCGACGAUGGAUAGCUGGUCUGAGAGGACGAUCAGCCACACUGGGACUGAGACACGGCCCAGACUCCUACGGGAGGCAGCAGUGGGGAAUAUUGCGCAAUGGGGGCAACCCUGACGCAGCAAUGCCGCGUGAAGGAUGAAGGCUUUCGGGUCGUAAACUUCUGUCUAGAGGGAUGAAUUUUGACAGUACCUCUGGAGGAAGCCCCGGCUAACUACGUGCCAGCAGCCGCGGUAAUACGUAGGGGGCAAGCGUUGUCCGGAAUCACUGGGCGUAAAGCGCGCGUAGGUGGUCUAGUAAGUCAGAUGUUAAAAUGCGGGGCUCAACCCCGUAAUGCAUUUGAAACUGCUGGACUUGAGGACAGGAGAGGAAAGUGGAAUUCCUAGUGUAGCGGUGAAAUGCGUAGAUAUUAGGAGGAAC